CUUGAAACACGGACCAAGGAGUCUAGCAUGUGCGCGAGUCAUUGGGAAUCACUAAACCUAAAGGCGCAAUGAAAGUGAAGGCCCGCCCAGCGCGGGCCGAGGGAAGAUGGGCGGUUACGGUCUCCGUGCCGCUCCGCACUCCCGGGGCGUCUCGUUCUCAUUGCGAGAAGAGGCGCACCAAGAGCGUACACGCUGGGACCCGAAAGAUGGUGAACUAUGCCUGGUCAGGACGAAGUCAGGGGAAACCCUGAUGGAGGUCCGUAGCGAUUCUGACGUGCAAAUCGAUCGUCGGAACUGGGUAUAGGGGCGAAAGACUAAUCGAACCAUCUAGUAGCUGGUUCCCUCCGAAGUUUCCCUCAGGAUAGCUGGCGCUCGUCGCCUACGAGUCUCAUCCGGUAAAGCGAAUGAUUAGAGGCAUUGGGGUCGAAACGGCCUCAACCUAUUCUCAAACUUUAAAUGGGUGAGAUCUCCGGCUUGCUCGAACUUAUGAAGCCGCGAGACACGGAUCAGAGUGCCAAGUGGGCCAUUUUUGGUAAGCAGAACUGGCGCUGUGGGAUGAACCAAACGCCGAGUUAAAGCGCCUAAAUCGACGCUUAUGGGAUACCAUGAAAGGCGUUGGUAACUUAAGACAGCAGGACGGUGGCCAUGGAAGUCGGAAUCCGCUAA
This 666-nucleotide ribosomal RNA is filed under the name Clerus mutillarius. RNAcentral describes it as "eukaryotic LSU rRNA". It matches the Rfam family "Eukaryotic large subunit ribosomal RNA", at positions 653 to 1274 of the family's 3401-position model. Lineage: Eukaryota; Metazoa; Arthropoda; Insecta; Coleoptera; Cleridae. The record is from RNAcentral.